Molecule: small nuclear RNA, 111 nt
Organism: Phyllostomus hastatus (greater spear-nosed bat)
Lineage: Eukaryota; Metazoa; Chordata; Mammalia; Chiroptera; Phyllostomidae
Source: RefSeq, a predicted model, not a curated record
GUUAAUUUUUGUAAAAUUGGAGCUUAAAAUAAUCUAGGAAUGAUACAGAGAAGAUUGGCAUGGACCCUGCUCAAGGAUGACAUGCAAUUUCGUGAAGCGUUCCAUAUUAAG